Canis lupus familiaris (dog) is the source of this 470-nucleotide long non-coding RNA. RefSeq lists it as uncharacterized. The record is from RefSeq and is a predicted model, not a curated record. The transcript has 4 exons. NCBI's taxonomy places the organism in Eukaryota, Metazoa, Chordata, Mammalia, Carnivora, Canidae.
CUGCCAUCUCAAGUUACUGACAUCUUAACCAACUUCCCAAACUCUUCUCAAGUGCAGUCUCCUCUACAGAGUCUUGAUCCUGGCCACCAGAGGUCACUUCUUCCUGCAACUGUGAUGUCAGGCCGCCUAGGAUCUAAUGCUGGCCCAGCACGUUCCUGACUGCGGGACCCUGGGCAGAUGUGAUGAAUACUACUACAAUGACAACAUACAUUUAUGUACCUGCCAUGUGCCAGCAGUGAUCCAAGCACUUUAUAUGCUAUGUUUACCCUGAAUCGUCACGACAAAUUGUGCUGCUAUUGGUUUCGGGAGAAAUGUUUUCUGAGCCUACCUGUCAAAGAGAAACUUAUAAAAGGCUGCAGAAGGCCCAGUUCGGUACCAGAGAUAUAACUGCAAACAACACAGUCCCUACACUCAAGGAGUUCCUGUCCAGUGAAGGUGGGAAGACAAUCAGAUUGAAUGCCAACAAGGUC